Molecule: long non-coding RNA, 684 nt
Filed under: Rattus norvegicus (Norway rat)
Lineage: Eukaryota; Metazoa; Chordata; Mammalia; Rodentia; Muridae
Description: long non-coding RNA NONRATT027640
Source: RNAcentral
GUGACAGACUCUCAAUGUAGCCCCAGAUGGUCUGAAACUUACUAUGUAGACCAGGCUAUCCUGGAACUCAUAGAGAUCUAUCUAUCCUGAGUGCUGGGAUUCAAGGGCCUAUAUUGAGCCUUUUGAUGGUGGAUCAUCCUAUGUUCCCACCAGGUGAGUCUGCCCACUGUCGAGAUCGAUUGCAGCCUGGCUGAGUACAUUGACAUGAUCUGUGCCAUCCUGGACAUUCCUUUCUACAAGAGCCGGAUUCAGUCCCUCCACCUGCUCUUUUCCCUCUACUCAGAAUUCAAGAAUUCCCAGCAUUUUAAAGCUCUUGCUGAAGGCAAGAAAACAUUCACUCCUCCAUCCAACUCUGCCUCCCAGGCUGGAGAUGCGGAGACACUGAGUUUCCUCUGAGCCUCCUCUUGGGGCUGUGCUUCAAAGUCAGGUGAACAUGGUCUCUGUUGGCAGCUUAACAUCUCCCUGCUCCACAGUUGGGCCCUGGCCACACAAGUCCUGCUGCCUUGUCUUUGAGAGCAGGGCACACCUGGGCUACACCUGCCUCCCUUUGCCUUUCCCGAGGAAGGAUGUGUCCACACUGCUGUGGGCAGCUGAGUUGGAAGAACUGGGACUCCGAGAGCCUCAGAACUUCCAGAGACACACAGACUGUUCUGUCAGGUUAUGAUGGAAUAUAUAUUGGUUUUC